This 501-nucleotide ribosomal RNA is filed under the name uncultured Glomeromycotina. Its description in RNAcentral is "partial small subunit ribosomal RNA". It matches the Rfam family "Eukaryotic small subunit ribosomal RNA", at positions 591 to 1092 of the family's 1831-position model. The record is from RNAcentral. Lineage: Eukaryota; Fungi; Glomeromycota.
CCAAUAGCGUAUAUUAAAGUUGUUGCAGUUAAAAAGCUCGUAGUUGAAUUUCGGGGUUCAUCCGUUGGUCGGGCUCUUUGGUCUGUACUGGCGUGAUGGAUUCCUACCUUCUGAAUAACCGGCAUGCCAUUAAUUUGGUGCGCCGGGGAAGCAGGACUGUUACCUUGAAAAAAUUAGAGUGCUUAAAGCAGGCUAUCGCCUGAAUACAUUAGCAUGGAAUAAUGAAAUAGGACGCAUGGUUCUAUUUUGUUGGUUUCUAGGAUCACCGUAAUGAUUAAUAGGGAUAGUUGGGGGCAUUAGUAUUCAAUUGUCAGAGGUGAAAUUCUUGGAUUUAUUGAAGACUAACUUCUGCGAAAGCAUUUGCCAAGGAUGUUUUCAUUAAUCAAGAACGAAAGUUAGGGGAUCGAAGACGAUCAGAUACCGUCGUAGUCUUAACCAUAAACUAUGCCGACUAGGGAUCGGACGAAGUUAAUUUUUUAAUGACUCGUUCGGCGCCUUACG